RNAcentral lists this ribosomal RNA (442 nucleotides) under uncultured bacterium. RNAcentral describes it as "partial 16S ribosomal RNA". It matches the Rfam family "Bacterial small subunit ribosomal RNA", at positions 338 to 795 of the family's 1533-position model. The record is from RNAcentral.
CCUACGGGGGGCAGCAGUGGGGAAUAUUGGGCAAUGGGCGCAAGCCUGACCCAGCAAUGCCGCGUGAAGGAAGAAGGCUUUCGGGUUGUAAACUUCUUUGACAGGGGAAGAGCAGAAGACGGUACCCUGAAAACAAGCCACGGCUAACUACGUGCCAGCAGCCGCGGUAAUACGGAGGUGGCAAGCGUUGUCCGGAUUUACUGGGGGGAAAGGGCGUGUAGCCGGGAAGGCAAGUCAGAUGUGAAAUCUGGAGGCUCAACCUCCAAAUUGCAUUUGAAACUGUUUUUCUUAAGUGCUGGAGAGGCAGACGGAAUUCCUUGUGUAGCGGUGAAAUGCGUAGAUAUAAGGAGGAACAGCAGUGGCGAAGGCGGUCUGCUGGACAGCAACUGACGGUGAGGCGCGAAAGCGUGGGGAGCAAACAGGAUUAGAUACCCUUGUAGUC